Molecule: ribosomal RNA, 451 nt
Filed under: uncultured bacterium
Lineage: Bacteria
Description: partial 16S ribosomal RNA
Rfam family: Bacterial small subunit ribosomal RNA
Source: RNAcentral
AGCGAACGCUGGCGGCAGGCUUAACACAUGCAAGUCGAGCGGGCAUAGCAAUAUGUCAGCGGCAGUCGGGUGAGUAACGCGUGGGAACGUACCUUUUGGUUCGGAACAACACAGGGAAACUGGUGCUAAUACCGGUUAAGCCCUUACGGGGAAAGAUUUAUCGCCGCAAGAUAGGCCCGCGUAUUAUUAGCUAGUUGGUGGGGUAAUGGCUAACCAAGGCGACGAUCAGUAGCUGGUCUGAGAGGAUGAUCAGCCACAUUGGGACUGAGACCCGGCCCAAACUCCUACGGGAGGCAGCAGUGGGGAAUAUUGGACAAUGGGCGCAAGCCUUAUCCAGCCAUGCCGCGUGAGUGAUGAAGGCCCUAGGGUUGUAAAGCUCUUUUGUGCGGGAAGAUAAUGACGGUACCGCAAGAAUAAGCCCCGGCUAACAACACGCCAGCCGCCGCCGUAA